This 618-nucleotide ribosomal RNA is filed under the name uncultured bacterium. RNAcentral's name for it is "bacterial SSU rRNA". It matches the Rfam family "Bacterial small subunit ribosomal RNA", at positions 338 to 951 of the family's 1533-position model. The record is from RNAcentral.
CCUACGGGAGGCAGCAGUGGGGAAUUUUGGACAAUGGGCGCAAGCCUGAUCCAGCAAUGCCGCGUGAGUGAAGAAGGCCUUCGGGUUGUAAAGCUCUUUUGUCAGGGAAGAAACGGCUGAGGCUAAUAUCCUCGGCUAAUGACGGUACCUGAAGAAUAAGCACCGGCUAACUACGUGCCAGCAGCCGCGGUAAUACGUAGGGUGCAAGCGUUAAUCGGAAUUACUGGGCGUAAAGCGUGCGCAGGCGGUUUUGUAAGUCUGUCGUGAAAGCCCCGGGCUUAACCUGGGAAUUGCGAUGGAGACUGCAAGGCUUGAAUCUGGCAGAGGGGGGUAGAAUUCCACGUGUAGCAGUGAAAUGCGUAGAGAUGUGGAGGAACACCGAUGGCGAAGGCAGCCCCCUGGGUCAAGAUUGACGCUCAUGCACGAAAGCGUGGGGAGCAAACAGGAUUAGAUACCCUGGUAGUCCACGCCCUAAACGAUGUCUACUAGUUGUCGGGUCUUAAUUGACUUGGUAACGCAGCUAACGCGUGAAGUAGACCGCCUGGGGAGUACGGUCGCAAGAUUAAAACUCAAAGGAAUUGACCGGNNGAGAGAGCGAGACGACGACGAGGGAGGAGG